Molecule: unclassified non-coding RNA, 240 nt
Filed under: Hevea brasiliensis (rubber tree)
Lineage: Eukaryota; Viridiplantae; Streptophyta; Magnoliopsida; Malpighiales; Euphorbiaceae
Source: RNAcentral
GUCUGGCCGCCGCUGAGUUUAAACUCAGCAUUCCAUCUUUGCACUAGCGCUCAAGACUCCACUAUUUCAAUAAAUUUAAGCAUAGCCUUUAUGCGUGUGCAGAUACAGUUACUCUCAUGCUUAAAGCUGCAGAAAAAAAACUAUGAAAACACUGAGAAGAUAAGGAAGCCAUAGAAAUGCUGUAAGAAAAAACUACGGAUGCCAUUGAUGUAAUUCGGCAGAGAAGAAAAAAAAUUGAUU